CUGCUGACUUGAGCAGCACAUAUACUAAAAUUGUAACAAUACAGAGAAGAUUAGCACAGC
Small nuclear RNA from Capra hircus (goat), 60 nucleotides. The record is from Ensembl. NCBI's taxonomy places the organism in Eukaryota, Metazoa, Chordata, Mammalia, Artiodactyla, Bovidae.